UGGGGAAUAUUGCACAAUGGGCGAAAGCCUGAUGCAGCGACGCCGCGUGAGGGAUGACGGCCUUCGGGUUGUAAACCUCUUUCAGUAGGGACGAAGCGCAAGUGACGGUACCUGCAGAAGAAGCACCGGCUAACUACGUGCCAGCAGCCGCGGUAAUACGUAGGGUGCGAGCGUUGUCCGGAAUUACUGGGCGUAAAGGGCUCGUAGGCGGUUUGUCACGUCGUCUGUGAAAUCCUAGGGCUUAACCCUGGACGUGCAGGCGAUACGGGCUGAGUUGAGUACUACAGGGGAGAGUGGAAUUUCUGGUGUAGCGGUGGAAUGCACAGAUAUCAGGAAGAGCACCGAUUGCGAAGGCAGGUCUCUGGGUAGUAACUGACGCUGAGGAGCGAAAGCAUGGGUAGCGAACAGG
Molecule: ribosomal RNA, 409 nt
Filed under: bacterium
Lineage: Bacteria
Description: partial 16S ribosomal RNA
Rfam family: Bacterial small subunit ribosomal RNA
Source: RNAcentral